Molecule: transfer RNA, 84 nt
Filed under: Candidatus Falkowiibacteriota bacterium
Lineage: Bacteria; Candidatus Falkowiibacteriota
Also listed under: 1 other name
Description: tRNA-Leu
Rfam family: tRNA
About the family: Transfer RNA (tRNA) molecules are approximately 80 nucleotides in length. Their secondary structure includes four short double-helical elements and three loops (D, anti-codon, and T loops).
Source: RNAcentral
GGGCAAGUGGCGGAACUGGUAGACGCGCUAGCUUCAGGAGCUAGUGGCAGCAAUGUCGUGGAGGUUCAAGUCCUCUCUUGCCCA